Long non-coding RNA from Silurus meridionalis, 391 nucleotides. RefSeq lists it as uncharacterized. Lineage: Eukaryota; Metazoa; Chordata; Actinopteri; Siluriformes; Siluridae. The transcript is spliced from 3 exons. The record is from RefSeq and is a predicted model, not a curated record.
UCUCUUACCCCGCAGUACUCCAGCAUGUGGAUGAUCUCGUCCUCGUAGACGGUGUGUGUGGCGUACUGUUUCUCCAGCUCCCUCCAGUUCACGGCUCUACUCAACACUCCCUGCGGAGGGGGAAAGUCAGAGCGAGAAGCGUGAUUGAAAUCUUACGGUGGUGAAAACGUUCGAAGCAGUAGUCCAAGAAAGACACGGGAUCAGAGGAAUCGGCUUCGGCCAAUUGGUUAUGGCUAAAGAUGCCAUCUGUGUGAAACACACCAACAAAGAAGACAAAGUGAUAGUUUUGUCGUUGGCGUGUACUCACAUGACCUCCCAUGGAGAUGCCGGUCAUUCCCAGCGGCCAGAAGCCCUCCCUCUCCAACCAGUGCAGGAGAGCGGCUGACUCCAG